AAAAGUUUGAUUUUUGUCUUGGAUAAUUGGGUUUAAUUUUGAUUUACAUGCAAAUUUGUGUUUGAGUUUGAUUGACUUUUAGAUAAAGUCUCUAACCUAGUUAUAUUCGCAGUAAAUAAAUUUAAAUUUUAGUGAAAGCUAGAUUUAGCAAUAAUUAUUAAGUACUAACAAAACUUGUGCCAGCAGUUGCGGUUACACCAGUGGUACAACUUCAUUUUUUUUGGUUACAGUGAAUUUGAUAGAUUAUUUUAAAUUGCAUUUUGUUAGGUGAAAUUUUAAUGUGCAUAAAAAAUAUAUAGAAUGAGGCUGAGAAAUUUUUUUUUAUAAACUAGGAUUAGAUACCCUAUUAUUGAAAACGUUAAUUUAUUUACCAUAUUAGUAUUAGUUAAGUUCUUGAAAAUAGAAAAAUUUGGCGGUAUUUUAGUCUGUUCAGAGGAACCUGUCCCGUAAUUGAUGAUCCACGAUUUAUUUUACUUUAUCUUUUAGUUGGUAUAUCGUCGUAGGUUGAAUAUUUUAUUAGAAUUUCAAUAUUCAUAAUUUUGUGAUAGAAAAGGAAAUCAGAUCAAGGUGUCGCUUAUGAUAAAGGGGAGAUGGGUUACGUUAAUUUUAUUUGGGGAUUAGUAUUUUGUAAAUGUAUAUGAACUUGGAUUUGAUAGUAAUUUUAAUUAGAUAAUUAAGGUGAUUUAGCUCUAAAGUAUGUACAUAUCGCCCGUCGCUUUCACUUCAAGGUGGAAUAAGUCGUAACAUAGUAGGCGUACUGGAAAGUGUGCCUGGAUAGUC
RNAcentral lists this non-coding RNA (780 nucleotides) under Obrium sp. NS-2015. The record is from RNAcentral. Lineage: Eukaryota; Metazoa; Arthropoda; Insecta; Coleoptera; Cerambycidae.